GAUGAACGCUGGCGGCGUGCCUAAUACAUGCGAGUCGAGCGAACAGACGAGGAGCUUGCUCCUCUGACGUUAGCGGCGGACGGGUGAGUAACACGUGGAUAACCUACCUAUAAGACUGGGAUAACUUCGGGAAACCGGAGCUAAUACCGGAUAAUAUAUUGAACCGCAUGGUUCAAUAGUGAAAGACGGUUUUGCUGUCACUUAUAGAUGGAUCCGCGCCGCAUUAGCUAGUUGGUAAGGUAACGGCUUACCAAGGCGACGAUGCGUAGCCGACCUGAGAGGGUAAUCGGCCAAACUGAAACUAGAACACGGUCCAGACUCCUACGGGAGGCAGCAGUAGGGAAUCUUCCGCAAUGGGCGAAAGCCUGACGGGGCAACGCCGCGUGAGUGAUGAAGGUCUUCGGAUCGUAAAACUCUGUUAUUAGGGAAGAACAAAUGUGUAAGUAACUAUGCACGUCUUGACGGUACCUAAUCAGAAAGCCACGGCUAACUACGU
RNAcentral lists this ribosomal RNA (496 nucleotides) under uncultured bacterium. RNAcentral's name for it is "partial 16S ribosomal RNA". It matches the Rfam family "Bacterial small subunit ribosomal RNA", at positions 28 to 506 of the family's 1533-position model. The record is from RNAcentral.